UACGUAGGCAGCGAGCGUUGUUCGGAGUUACUGGGCGGAAAGGGUGUGUAGGCGGUUGUUUAAGUUUGGUGUGGAAUCUCCCGGCUCAACCGGGAGGGUGCGCCGAAUACUGAAUGACUUCGAGUGCGGGAGAGGAAAGUGGAAUUCCUGGUGUAGCGGUGAAAUGCGUAGAUAUCAGGAGGAACACCGGUGGUGUAGACGGCUUUCUGGACCGUAACUGACGCUGAGACACGAAAGCGUGGGUAGCAAACAGG
RNAcentral lists this ribosomal RNA (254 nucleotides) under uncultured bacterium. Its description in RNAcentral is "partial 16S ribosomal RNA". It matches the Rfam family "Bacterial small subunit ribosomal RNA", at positions 524 to 776 of the family's 1533-position model. The record is from RNAcentral.